GACGAACGCUGGCGGCGUGCCUAAUACAUGCAAGUAGAACGCUGAAGCGAGGAGCUUGCUCUUCUUGGAUGAGUUGCGAACGGGUGAGUAACGCGUAGGUAACCUGCCUUGUAGCGGGGGAUAACUAUUGGAAACGAUAGCUAAUACCGCAUAACAAUGGAUGACACAUGUCAUUUAUUUGAAAGGGGCAAUUGCUCCACUACAAGAUGGACCUGCGUUGUAUUAGCUAGUAGGUGAGGUAAUGGCUCACCUAGGCGACGAUACAUAGCCGACCUGAGAGGGUGAUCGGCCACACUGGGACUGAGACACGGCCCAGACUCCUACGGGAGGCAGCAGUAGGGAAUCUUCGGCAAUGGGGGCAACCCUGACCGAGCAACGCCGCGGGAGUGAAGAAGGGUUUCGGAUCGUAAAGCUCUGUUGUAAGUCAAGAACGGGUGUGAGAGUGGAAAGUUCACACUGUGACGGUAGCUUACCAGAAAGGGACGGCUAACUACGUG
This 497-nucleotide ribosomal RNA is filed under the name uncultured bacterium. RNAcentral describes it as "partial 16S ribosomal RNA". It matches the Rfam family "Bacterial small subunit ribosomal RNA", at positions 28 to 507 of the family's 1533-position model. The record is from RNAcentral.